CGCCCCCUCAGCCUCGGUGAGUGGGCGGAGCUUCGCGGGACGAGCCGUGAUUGGCUGGUGGCCGGGGGGGUGGGCGUGGCUUGCAUCUUAGCCCCUCCCCCUCACGUGUUUGCAGCAUGGAGGGGGCGGGGCCGGAGCUGGCGGUGGCCGUCGCCAUGGGAACGGAGCCGGAAGUGCUGGUGGCGCUGCGCAGGCUGAGCCGGGAGAGGGCGGAGUCACUGCGGGGGCUGCUGGAGCCCCGCCCACCCCCAGGCCACCACCACCAGACCGACGCCGCCGACGAGCGCUGGCUCCGCUCCGCCCAGGUGAGCCCCGCCCCUUGUGACAUC
RNAcentral lists this long non-coding RNA (329 nucleotides) under Anas platyrhynchos platyrhynchos (common mallard). RNAcentral's name for it is "lncRNA (ENSAPLG00000030206.1)". The record is from RNAcentral. Lineage: Eukaryota; Metazoa; Chordata; Aves; Anseriformes; Anatidae.